Molecule: long non-coding RNA, 955 nt
Filed under: Equus asinus (donkey)
Lineage: Eukaryota; Metazoa; Chordata; Mammalia; Perissodactyla; Equidae
Description: lncRNA (ENSEASG00005034413.1)
Source: RNAcentral
AUUGUACAUAACCAGGGUACAAUUACCAAACUAAGAUAUUACCAUUGGUACAUGACUUAAGUAAGCUACAGACUUCGUUCAGAUGCCACAAGUUUUUCUUUUUAAUAUCCUUUUUCUGUUCCAGGAUCCAAUCUGCUGAGAUAUCACAUCACUUUUAGCAUAUAUGUAUUUUAAUAAUGGAUAAGACAUAAACGUAAGAGGGAAAGCAUUUAACCCAUACUCAUGUAUCAUGCUGUUAAUAUCUUGGUGUAUUCUCUUCCUGACACGCAUGCAUAAACACACACCACACACAUUUCAGGAGCAGACUGCAUACUUGUUUUUUACCCUAUUUUUAUCAAUUAACCUAAAUAUUAUAAAUAUUACCCUAUGCUAUUAAUGAAUGUUUAAAAUAUGCUUAAUGUGUAUAUAGUUUUUAUCAAAGGGAUAGAGUUUAAGUUAACAUUACCAGAUUAUUUUUUCUUUAAUUUUUAUUGAAGAAAUUUGACACGUAACACUGUAUCAUUACCAGGUUAUUGAAUGCUUGUUUUCGUUUUUCCUCUCACAAAUGACACUGAUGAUUUUCAUUGCACAUGAGCGCUGGGCAGUUUUCAUAUUUCUGCAGGCUGAUCACAAGGAAGAACACAUAAUCUGAAGAUCUAUGGAUUUCCCCUUUUAUUAUAUUUUUAAAUUCAAGAGGAAUACAUUUAAACUACACUGAAAUCUCUAAGAUUGAAAAUGAAAGGCUCCCCCUGCUCUGGUACACUCACUUCCCUGAGGAAAAGAAAAGUAUUGCGAGGUCUCUGGCUUUACCCUGAGCCUGUGCUGGGGGUGUUUCCAGCAACUGUGUACAAAGGCAGCUUCAACCCUGAGCUUCUCAUAAGUGUUCAAAGUUCUGGGUGGCAGACAACAUAAACCAACUCCAAAAAGCUAACAUAAAAGGAAUUUGUUGACAGGACACUCAGAUCCUGAAAGCUAA